UCGAACGCUGAAGCACUUUCGGGUGUGGAUGAGUGGCGAACGGGUGAGUAACACGUGGGUAAUCUGCCCUGCACUCUGGGAUAAGCCUUGGAAACGGGGUCUAAUACCGGAUAUGACAUGUCACCGCAUGGUGUGCGUGUGGAAAGUUCCGGCGGUGCAGGAUGAGCCCGCGGCCUAUCAGCUUGUUGGUGGGGUAGUGGCCUACCAAGGCGACGACGGGUAGCCGGCCUGAGAGGGUGACCGGCCACACUGGGACUGAGACACGGCCCAGACUCCUACGGGAGGCAGCAGUGGGGAAUCUUGCGCAAUGGGCGAAAGCCUGACGCAGCAACGCCGCGUGGGGGAUGACGGCCUUCGGGUUGUAAACCUCUUUCGACACCGACGAAGCCUUCGGGUGACGGUAGGUGUAGAAGAAGCACCGGCUAACUACGUGCCAGCAGCCGCGGUAAUACGUAGGGUGCGAGCGUUGUCCGGAUUUAUUGGGCGUAAAGAGCUCGUAGGCGGUUUGUCGCGUCGGCCGUGAAAACUCACAGCUUAACUGUGGGCGUGCGGUCGAUACGGGCAGACUUGAGUUCGGCAGGGGAGACUGGAAUUCCUGGUGUAGCGGUGAAAUGCGCAGAUAUCAGGAGGAACACCGGUGGCGAAGGCGGGUCUCUGGGCCGAUACUGACGCUGAGGAGCGAAAGCGUGGGGAGCGAACAGGAUUAGAUACCCUGGUAGUCCACGCCGUAAACGUUGGGCGCUAGGUGUGGGGACCGGUUCCACGGUUUCCGUGCCGUA
This 779-nucleotide ribosomal RNA is filed under the name Saccharopolyspora sp. DST98. Its description in RNAcentral is "bacterial SSU rRNA". It matches the Rfam family "Bacterial small subunit ribosomal RNA", at positions 62 to 850 of the family's 1533-position model. Lineage: Bacteria; Bacillati; Actinomycetota; Actinomycetes; Pseudonocardiales; Pseudonocardiaceae. The record is from RNAcentral.